This 774-nucleotide ribosomal RNA is filed under the name uncultured archaeon. RNAcentral describes it as "bacterial SSU rRNA". It matches the Rfam family "Archaeal small subunit ribosomal RNA", at positions 1 to 776 of the family's 1478-position model. The record is from RNAcentral.
UUCCGGUUGAUCCUGCCGGAGGCCAUUGCUAUCGGAGUCCGAUUUAGCCAUGCUAGUCGUGCGAGUUCAGACUCGCGGCACCGAGCUCAGUAACACGUGGCCAAACUACCCUACAGAGACGGAUACCCUCGGGAAACUGAGGUUAACCCGUCAUACCGAUCUCAGGCUUGAAUCGCAGAGAUCACAAAACGCCCCGGCGCUGUAGGAUGUGGCUGCGGUUGAUUAGGUAGACGGUGGGGUAACGGCCCACCGUGCCCAUAAUCAGUACAGGUUGUGAGAGCAAGAACCUGGAGACGGAAUCUGAGACAAGAUUCCGGGCCCUACGGGGCGCAGCAGGCGCGAAACCUUUACACUGCACGCACGUGCGAUAAGGGGACUCCGAGUGCGAGGGCAUAUCGUCCUCGCUUUCGUGUACCGUAGGGUGGUACACCAACAAGGGCUGGGCAAGACCGGUGCCAGCCGCCGCGGUAAUACCGGCAGCCCGAGUGAUGGCCGAUCUUAUUGGGCCUAAAGCGUCCGUAGCUGGCUGCGCAAGUCCGUCGGGAAAUCCACUCGCCCAACGAGUGGGCGUCCGACGGAAACUGCACAGCUUGGGACCGGAAGGCUCGAAGGGUACGUUCGGGGUAGGAGUGAAAUCCCAUAAUCCCGCACGGACCACCGAUGGCGAAAGCACUUCGAGAAAACGGAUCCGACAGUGAGGGACGAAAGCCAGGGUCUCCAACCGGAUUAGAUACCCGGGUAGUCCUGGCCGUAAACAAUGUUCGCUAGGUAUGA